AAUGGCUGCAGUAAUUUGACUGUACAAAGGUAGCAUAAUCAUUAGUUUUUUAAUUGAAAGCUUGUAUGAAAGGUUGGACGAAAUAAAAUCUGUCUUUUUUUAAUAUAAUUAGAAUUUAAUUUUUAAGUUAAAAAGCUUAAAUUUUUAUAAAAGACGAGAAGACCCUAUAGAGUUUUAUAAUUUUGUUUAAAUAAUUAAUUUAGAUUUUUUAAUUUUAUUUUUAAGAAAUUAUUUUAUUGGGGUAAUAGAAAGAUUUAAAUAAUUCUUUUUUGGUAAAGUCAUUAAUUUAUGAAAAUUUAUGAUCCAUUAAUUUUGAUUAUAAGAUUAAAUUACCUUAGGGAUAACAGCGUAAUUUUUUUUAAGAGUUCAUAUCGAUAAAAAAGUUUGCGACCUCGAUGUUGGAUUAAAGAUUAGUUUAGGUGUAGAAGUUUAAAUUUUUGGUCUGUUCGACCAUUAAAUCUUUACAUGAUCUGAGUUCAAACCGGUGUAAGCCAGGUUGGUUUCUAUCUUUAUAAGAUUUAUAUAUUUUAGUACGAAAGGACCAAAUAUGUUAUAUAUAAAUAUUUUAUAAAUUGAAUAU
RNAcentral lists this ribosomal RNA (580 nucleotides) under Jeannelius gloriosus. RNAcentral's name for it is "partial 16S ribosomal RNA". The stretch from base 340 to 498 matches the Rfam family "Bacterial large subunit ribosomal RNA", at positions 2473 to 2632 of the family's 2925-position model. The record is from RNAcentral. Lineage: Eukaryota; Metazoa; Arthropoda; Insecta; Coleoptera; Carabidae.